UGAGCUAGAAGCCGACUGAGGUCUCCAUCUGAUUCGCGGUGCGGCCAACGCUCGCGUGUUGGAAGGCUCCGCGGCGCUGGAAUCCUCCUCCCGCGGGACAAGAGCCGGUGAAUCUUAGCAAGCGCAGAGGGAUGCCGGCCAGGAUGCCCUGCUCUGGUCCUAUCGCUUCCGCGCCUCUCCAACGCUUAAAGGCUCAAAUGAUUCCUGGAGCUGUUGAUGGUACUGGUACAACUAUUAAUCAUAGGAUGCAGCUUUAUUCAGGUCCACUAUCAACAUUUUAAAUGUUGAUGAUUUGUCGGAUGGCAAAAUUUGAGGAGGUACUGUGGAAGAUGAAAAUGGCAAUAUUGCAUGCGACACAAGGAAGAUAAUGAUGUCCUUGUCCAGUAUAUAUAAGAUCAUGAGGGGAACACUGACCUAUUUGUGUCAUGAGGGAAACAUGAUCAAUAGUAGAGGAUUGGGGUACAUCCAUGUUAAGAACGUGAGCUUCAGAUUUCUUCUGGAGUCUGUCCUGCCGUUGUUUCUUGCGGCAUAUCAGUUCCAUCUGGCAUACAACAGGAAAUCAUGAACCCAUAAAUUAGAAAUAGGUGAUCAAUAAACAUAGUAGGAUCUGAAGGGUAUGAUUGUACCAUUGUUAUGUG
Molecule: long non-coding RNA, 638 nt
Organism: Lolium rigidum
Lineage: Eukaryota; Viridiplantae; Streptophyta; Magnoliopsida; Poales; Poaceae
Exons: 4
Source: RefSeq, a predicted model, not a curated record